CCGACACUGCAGGUAACAGACCACCAGCUCAGCCUCAGGCCAGAAACCAAGGACUAUCCUCAUGGGUGUACCUGAGGCCAUGGAGGCUCUGACUCCCCACCUGACCACUCCUCUCCUCACCAAGCACAGCUGCCUUUAUUCAUCAGUGACAGCUCCAGAAUAUGGGUGCCAUUGUUUUGCUGGGGAUUGGGAUACAGAGAGGAAGCAGAGCUGGGCCUGUCCUGGCCAGCCCCAGGGUGGUGGCAGCCUGCCUUGGGGAAUAGCCUGGUACUGGGCAGUGUGUCGUGAGCUUUGGUAGAAGUCCAACUGGGACUGUGGGAGUAGAGGCAGGGUCUGACCAGCCUGGAAGUCAGGGAGGGCUUCCUGUAGGAGCGGCUGCUAUAACUGAGUUUUUUCUAGGAAUUAACCAGGGGAAGAGGGGAAGGCAGGGAGGAAGGAACUGACUGGCUUUCCAAGGAGGGAGAUAAGAAGUGUGUGCUGUGAACAGGGAGCUUUGAGCUGUGGAGUUAGGCUGGGCCUGAAAAAUGGGAGGAGAGUAGCAAGGAACAAGGGCUGCAGAGAACUCUGGGAUCAGGCCUCCCCAACCCCAACCACACUCAAUUCCCUUUAGGUAUCUUGGGGUAAAAAAGGGGCAUCUAUGAUAAGUCUGGCAACUCCCCACAAUGCAUUCUCCUCUGACAUCAAAGGCUCUGAAAAGUCCUGCAGCUAAGAAACAUUUAACUGUGCUUGUCCAGCAUUCGACCUCAGACUCUUCCUUUCUUAGACCUAGAAACAUUGCUUAGGAAAUGCUGCUAGAGCACAAUCCUCUCAUUCCACAGCAGAGGUUCCAAGAGGCCUGGUGACUUGCUGGAGGACAACACAUAGUGAGUGGUUGGGCCGGAGGGCAGCUGGGUGUCUUGGCUCCUCCUUUCUAAGCUCUCCACCCACUAGUUUCUGACAGGUCUAGUCCUGGAUGGGAACAGGGGGAGCUGCUAAGGUGGCUGAUACACGAGGUCUCCCCAGCCCAGGGCUCCCAGCUGCCUCCUCCCCUCUGGGGGCGGGGCUUGGCAUCAAGGGCGGAGCUAUGACCAUUCUCUGCUGUGAGUGGCGCAGUUGCCAUCCCCAUUCUACAGACUAGGAGCUGAGGUCCAGUCUCACACACGUGGUAAAGCAUGGAGUUGGAAUUUAUGCAGUCUGUGUAACCGCAAAGACUGCUCUUUCCACUCCCCUAAUCUCUUUUUCCCACUCUUCAUAUAAUAGUGGAGGAAUCUGCAAAUGAAAUUCUAUCUGUAGGUACAAUUCCAGGGCUAUAUAUGGACACUGAGAAAGCUCUCAGAAGAAAAUAUUCCAAACACGCCAGGUGCGGUGGCUCACGCCUGUAAUCCCAGAACUUUGGGAGGCGGAAGGGGGCGGAUCACCUGAGGUUGGGAGUUUGAGACCAGCCUGAUCAACAUGGAGAAAUCCUGUCUUUACUAAAAAUGCAAAACAACAACAACAACAAACCAAAAAACCAGCUGGGCGCCGUGUCACAUGCCUGUAAUCCUAGCUACUAGGGAGGCUGAGGCAGGAGAACCGCUUGAACCUGGCAGGCGGAGAUUGUGGGCAUCAGCUGAGAGAAUUUUUGGAAGGACUUAGGGAAGAAACUAAGGAAAGACAACAGUACGCAGCAACAAGAUGACUUGCCUGAGGCCCAGAGAGUUUUGGCAACUUUCCUGAGGAUGCACAUAGGAAGCAGGAAAUCAGGCCUCUGUGGACACUUGAGCCUGAGGUGCCUGUGGGGCCUCACGGGGCGAUAUCCAGUGGACAUCUGGACAUGCAGUUCUGGAGCUGGCCUGAGGGCUGGAGCCAGGUAAGGGAGGAUGAUGGAUGAUUGAUGAGACAGAGCAGGGAGUGGGUGUAGAGAGAGGACUAGGACCAAGGUGUGGGAUAUGAGGGACCUUGACCUAUAAAGGGACAGAGGAGAGGAAUCUGCAGCCAGAGGGGUGGGAGAGAGGCCAGGAGAGCUUCAGUCACCAGAGCCGGAAGGGUGUGGGUAUGUCUGACAGGUGGAAGGGGCCCAGUGCCAAAGGUUGGGGCUUGCUGGUGCACUGCUCCUCCAUUUUUUUUUUUUUAUUUUAGAGACUGGGUCUUGCUCUGUUGCCCAGGCUGGAGUGUAGUGGUGUGAUCAUAGCUUACUGCAGCCUCAAACUUCCAAGCUCAAUCCAUCCUCCCGCUUUGGCCUCCCAAAGUGCUGUGAUUACAGGUGUGAGCCACUGCACCUGGCUAUGCUGCUCUUGUGUUCUCCCAUGGUUGCUUACAGUGUGUUUCCCUCUUCCCUGGCAUCCUCCCAAGGCUCCCAGCAGCCCCUGCACACCCUCCAGAAGGCUGGGGGAAGGUGUGGGGCAACAGCACCCCUGGGCUCCAUGCUAAAGUCCCAGGAGGUGCCAAAGCUGGAGCUGAGAGCAGAAGUGGGACAGGGAGGCAGGAACCCCACAGGGGUCACCACCAUGACAGGCUGCAGUGGGAGCCAAAGCCUGACUCCACGUGGCAGAGCUGUGGCCUCAGUCAUCCCACCCACUCCAGGGACAGAGCCGAGGCCUCAUUCAUUGGCACCAGUCCUGAAGCCACCACAGACUUCAGAGGGGCUGGCUUGGCCCCAGGCCCAUCUCUUUCCUCCACACCCAGGCCAACCUCUCAGCCUCUCAGCUUGGGAACUACUGUGAGACCCUAGCAUGUGCUCCAAGAUGCACGGACUGCGACUCAGCACCGGUAAGGGACUGGCCCAUGGUCACUCAGUUACUCCAUGGCAGAGCCAAGCUGGAAUCCAGAUCUGGCUUCGAAGUCCAGUGCUCACUCUCCAGCAUCUUCUGCCCUCAGUGUGAGCCCUUCCUGAGGCUGCCAGCCGGAUCUCUGGACAGCAGUAGGGAGCCAGCUUCAGACAUCCAAUGAUCCACAGAGUCAUAGGCAAGCACCGGGAAGUUCAGAUCUUUUCUGGGCUCUAUUCUGAGAGGGGUCUCCUAGCACAUUCUCCCUGAGCCCAUGUUCAAGCCCCAGCUUUGCAUUUGUUACAUACGAUCAUGUCUGGUUUCCAGGGCUUGUGUCUGACCAUUCUCCAUGUCCUUAAACUCAGCAAUGGGGCUAGGCACACCAAAGGUGCCUAAUGCACGUACUGAGUGAGGGACUCUAGUCUUGAGACCAGAUGGGGAAAUGACAGGGAGGUCUUGAGAUGCCUCAGGUGGUAAUCAAGCAGAGUACGGCAGGCCACAUGCCUGAGUAGCUGUAGGAAGGCUUUUUUUCCCAGGUGAGGGCCUGGCCAUCUACCAAUCAGAGGCAUGACACUCAGCUGUGAUUGCUUCGCCCUCCCAUACCUUUCUAGCACUGACCCCAAAGCCUCAACCACACUCAACCUAUGGCAGGGACAGGUGGUAAAGCACUGGACCUUAGCUGGGGCUAGAAACAUACCCUUGGGGCAGGUCUGGCCCAUGCUGGUGGCGCUUGCAGUCUACUGGCCCUCCUCAGGAGGGACUGGCAUGGGGGCCUUUCUGUCUGGGCCAGUAUGUCAUCCCACCCUGAGAGCCAAGCAUUUAGCUGAAGUUCACUGUAAGGUGCUCCUGUGGAGAGGCGUGCACUGGAAAGAGGGAGCAUCCUAAGACUUUGGUUGAACAUGCAUGCCUCCUGACUCUCCGAUGUGAGAAUGUGGGAUGUGGAGACAAAAGUGACUCCAUCUUGGAUGCUGAUAUGGUUUGGCUCUGUGUCCUCACCCAAAUCUCACCUUUGUAAUCCCCAUAAUCCCCACGUGUUAAGGGCAGGAACAGGUGGAGGCAAUUGAAUCAUGGGGUGGUUUCUCCCAUGCUGUUCUUGUGAUAAUGAGUGAUUUAUCUUGAGAUCUGAUGGGUUUUAUAAGUGUCUGACAUUUCCCCUGCUUGCACUCAUUUUCUCUCCUGUCACCCUGUGAAGAGGUGCCUUCCACCAUGAUAGUAAGUUUCUUGAGGUCUCCCCAGCUAUGUGGAACUGUGAGUCAAUUAAACCCCUUUUCUUUAUAAAUUACUCAGCCUCAGGUAUUUCUUCAUAGCAAUGUGACAGUGGACUAAUACAGAUGCUAAUCCACCAUGUUCACUACUGAUUAGCCCCAGUCCUGUGAAAACCUCCUGAUUCUCACUUUGUUUACUGUCCUUAGCAUAAGAACAUGUAAACCUUGAUGUUAUUGCACAAAUUAUAGGUUAUGACACAUAUAGCGUUCUUGCCUGUUCUGGAGGGCUGCCAUUAACUGUCUUGCACAGAGCAUGUAUACUCUUUCCCUGUGAUAUAUAAGCCCUGGGUCUGGGGAGUAAUAGUGUGAAGAACUGCCUGUUUUGCUGUUCAACACUACACUUCCAUCCUUAAGUUCCCCAGAUAAAUCACUCUGUGCCGAAAAAUUGGAUUUGUCUGCCUCACUCUGGCUUCUUAGCUACUUCUGCAUUUGGGGGUUGCUUUGCAAAUAUGGCCUUUUAAUGAACAGAGGGAUAUAAAAAUUCCUGGAAUUCUUUGAGGGCCAAACACAGGCUACUGUUUUCAGGGCUCCUACUAUGUGUAGGAUAAGUGAUAAGAGCUCAUUUCAUUCUUGGAGCUGUUUCAUCCAAUUCUCCCCAUUUUAUAGGUAAGGACACUGAGGCUCAAAGAAUUUUAAGUGACUCAUCUGUGGUCAGCCAGCCAGUACAUAGCCAAGCCAGACCCUCUCUGGGCCUUGGUCUCCCCACUAAACCAUAAGGAGCUGGAUAAGAAGUUUUCUGCUAUAUAAUAAAGAUAGCACAAAAAGGGGGAUGAGGGAAUAGAGUUAUAUAGGAGUAACUAGAGUAACUUAAUUCUCACUGGAAUGAAGUUAGUAUAAAUAUCAAGUAGAUUCUGGUGAGUUAAGAUGUAUAUGGCAAGCCCCAGAGCAACCAUUAAGAACAUAACUCAAAUAUAGUGAAAAAAAAUCAUUAAAUAAAUUAAAAUAUUACAUUAGAAAAUAUUCACUUAAAGCAAAAAGGAGAAAUAGAGGAACAAAAAAAGACAUGAGACAUAUACAAGACAAAAAGCAAAAUGGCAGAUGUAAAUCCAACUGUAUGAAUAACAUUAAAUGUGAUCGCUUAAAUAAUCCCAAAAGGAAGAGAUUGUCAGACUGGGUAAAAAACAAAAUCGAACUAUAUACUGUCUCUGAGUCUCACUUGUGAACCAGAUACAAAUAGGUUGAAAAUAAAAGGAUGGAGAAAGAUAUGCCAUGCAAAUUGCAAUAAUAAGAAUGCUGCUGUGGCCAUAAUAAAAUCAGAAAAAAUAGACUUUAAGGCAAAACGUGCUACUAGAGAUAAGAGGGUCAUUUUGUAGUGAUAAAGAAUUAAUCCACCAGGAAGUUAUAACAAUUAUAAACAUAUAUGCAUCUAACAAUAGAGUCCCCAAGUUCAUGAAGCAAAGUUUAACAAAUUGAGAGAAAAUACAGACAAUAAAACAAUAAUAGGUCGGGACUCCAAUAUUGUUUUUAGUAGGGUAUAGAGAAACUAGACAGAGAUCAAUAAGGAAAUACAUGAUUAGAACAACAUUAUUCGCAAACUAGACCUAACAGACAUCUAUAGAACACUUCACAGCAGCAGAACAUGCUUCUGAAGCGCAUGUGGAACAUUUUGAAGGAUAGGCCAUAUGAUAGGCCAUACAACAAGCCUCAAUAGAUUUAAAAGUGAUUGAAAUUGUACAAAGUAUGUUUCUGGUUAAAAUAAAAUUGGAAAUUAAUAACAAAAAUAAAUUUGUGAAAUUCACAAAUACAUGGAAAUUAAACAGCAUACUAAUAGUCAAGGAAAGAGAAAAGCAAAAGGAAAUUAGGAAAUGCUUUGGGAGAAGUUAAAAUGACAUUGCACCAAAACUUGCGGGAUGCAGGCGGGGUGCAGUGAGUGGCUCACGCCUGUAAUCCCAGCUCUUUGGGAGGCAGAGGUGGGCGGAUCACUUAAGGUCAGGAGUUUGAGACCAACCUGACCAAGACAGUGAAAUCCCAUCUCUACUAAAAUACAAAAACAAAUUACCUGAGCGUGGUAGCGGGCAGCUGUAAUCCCAGCUACUUGGGAGGCUGAGGCAGGAGAAUUACUUGAACCUGGGAGGUGGAGGUUGCAGUGAGCCAAGAUUGUGCCACUGCACUCUAGCCUGGGCAACAUGAGUGAAACUGUAUCUCAAAAACAAAAAAACAACUCCCCCCCAAAACAAACAAAAAAACAACUUGCAGGAUACAGCUAAUGCAGUGUUUAGAGGGAAAUUUAUAUAUGUAAAUGUCUAUAUUAAAAAGGAAAAAAGAUCUCAAAUCAACAACCUAACCUUCUACCUUAACAUACUGGGAAGAAAAGGGCAAACUAAAUCUGAAGUGGGCAGAGGGAAGGAAAUAAUAAAGAUUAGAGUGGAAAUUAGUGAAAUAAAGAGUAGAAAAACAAUAGAGAAAGCCAAUAAAACCAGAAGUUGGUUCUUUUUUUUUUUUGAGAGAGUCUUGUAUUGUCUCCCAGCCCGGAGAUCAGUGGCGCAAUCUUGGCUCAUUGCAACUUCUGCCUCCCAGGUUCAAGUGAUUCUCUUGCCUCAGCCUCCGAGUAAUUGGGACCACAGGUGAGCCAUCACGCCCAGCCCAGAAGUUGGUUCUUUAAAAAGAUUAACAAAUUUGGCUGGGCGUGGUGGCUCACACCUGUAAUCCCAGUACUUUGGGAGACUGAGGCGGGUGGAUCACUUGAGGCCAGGAG
Long non-coding RNA from Callithrix jacchus (white-tufted-ear marmoset), 6683 nucleotides. RefSeq lists it as uncharacterized. The record is from RefSeq and is a predicted model, not a curated record. NCBI's taxonomy places the organism in Eukaryota, Metazoa, Chordata, Mammalia, Primates, Cebidae.